UUAUAAUAUUAUAGAAGUAACGACAAACAACUAGGUAAUUAUACGUAGCUAAAUGGGUUCUAAGCUUGACUCGGAGUC
Molecule: long non-coding RNA, 78 nt
Organism: Aricia agestis (brown argus)
Lineage: Eukaryota; Metazoa; Arthropoda; Insecta; Lepidoptera; Lycaenidae
Exons: 3
Source: RefSeq, a predicted model, not a curated record